CCUACGGGGGGCAGCAGUGGGGAAUAUUGCACAAUGGGCGCAAGCCUGAUGCAGCGACGCCGCGUGGGGGAUGACGGCCUUCGGGUUGUAAACUCCUUUCAGCCAUGACGAAGCCCUUUUGGGGUGACGGUAGUGGUAGAAGAAGCACCGGCUAACUACGUGCCAGCAGCCGCGGUAAUACGUAGGGUGCGAGCGUUGUCCGGAAUUACUGGGCGUAAAGAGCUCGUAGGUGGUCUGUCGCGUCAUUUGUGAAAGCCCGGGGCUUAACUCCGGGUUGGCAGGUGAUACGGGCAUGACUGGAGUACUGUAGGGGAGACUGGAAUUCCUGGUGUAGCGGUGAAAUGCGCAGAUAUCAGGAGGAACACCGGUGGCGAAGGCGGGUCUCUGGGCAGUAACUGACGCUGAGGAGCGAAAGCAUGGGUAGCGAACAGGAUUAGAUACCCCGGUAGUC
Molecule: ribosomal RNA, 451 nt
Filed under: uncultured bacterium
Lineage: Bacteria
Description: bacterial SSU rRNA
Rfam family: Bacterial small subunit ribosomal RNA
Source: RNAcentral